GGAAAGAUGAGGAGAGGGUGGCAAAGUUCCCUUGAGUAACUGCCAGCCAGAUGCCCACUCCAAGGAUACCACAGCCUCCCAGCCAGAAGAGAAGGUUGAAGACAAACAUUAGGUACUUGAUACACUGCAGGCAGUUGUGAGCCAUGCUGCACCUCUUCAGUUCUUGAUGAGAGUGCACCAGCAACACGGGUCCCUCCCAGAGUAUGAGCGGAGCAGGGCUGGGGCUCAUGGCAGCGAGCUGCUCCCCUCCGGCGUCCG
Molecule: long non-coding RNA, 258 nt
Filed under: Gallus gallus (chicken)
Lineage: Eukaryota; Metazoa; Chordata; Aves; Galliformes; Phasianidae
Source: RNAcentral